This is a long non-coding RNA of Mercenaria mercenaria, 1005 nucleotides long. RefSeq lists it as uncharacterized. The transcript has 3 exons. The record is from RefSeq and is a predicted model, not a curated record. NCBI's taxonomy places the organism in Eukaryota, Metazoa, Mollusca, Bivalvia, Venerida, Veneridae.
AAGAAGUAAGACCAUAUAUAUAUUACUAAAAAGGUUCUUAAAUAUAUUCAAGGAUGGGGCAUUUCUUAAUUCGUCAUGUAAUGAGUUCCAGUCUCUAAUGGUAAACGGAAAGAAGGAGUUGUAAAACGAAGACGUUUUACUUUCUAUGGUACGGAUGCAGUCUUGAUUACGUAAGUUAUAUCUGGAUUCACUAAUUCUCGUAGGGAUCAGAGAGUUGAGGUAGCCAGGGACCAGAGAAUGCUGAAUUUUGUAAAACAAUUUUAAUUUAUUAAUAUAACGUCUAUUUUCAAGCGUUCGCAGAUUGGAGAACAGGAAAAUAUUUAUGAGAAAUUAUAACUCAGAAUAUCUGCCAUUGAGAACUACCAAGGAUGGAGUUGGAUGGCAAUUAAAGGAGCUGAAAUCUAGAUGCAAAGAGCACUGUGAUGUGAUUUGUACAGGCCAAGGUGUUCAAGUUUUACAAGCAUACUGAAAUGGUGUUAGACAGACUUUCCACAACAGUGUUAUGGAGAUAAAAUGAAGUAUUCAUUUCUCCAAUACUGAGCAGAUAUAUUGAAUUCAGCAAAUACAAUGCCAUUUCAGCUUGAUAAAUUCUGUAAGGGUGUUGAUGGAUUUGAUUUUGUUUGAUGCAGAAAACGUUAAAAUAUGAACACUGCUUUAGUUUUUGGAAAGAAUUGUUGUGAAGUGGUGAUCUGCCAAGAUGUUCUAGUUCUACUUACAUACAGCAGUGUGACAGCAUAUGUCUUGGGGAAAAACAUCAGGCUGUCAAAACAGAGACCGGAUACUAAAGACUGUGUUCACAGCGCUGUGUGCUUUUUGACAGAACGGAGAUAGACUUUUUACCAUUAAAAAUGAAUAGACUCUGGUGUAUUUUAAAUUUGCAUGUAUUGUUUGUAUGAUGAACUGUGCCCAUACCAGAGUCGAUGCCCAUAAAAGGCACAGUUUUGCUUGUUGAGUUUGUCUUUAUUUAUUAAUGAUGAUAACAGUCACUAAAGAGAAGUACUCCGA